This is a non-coding RNA of Pelobates cultripes (western spadefoot toad), 286 nucleotides long. Lineage: Eukaryota; Metazoa; Chordata; Amphibia; Anura; Pelobatidae. The record is from the annotation of a GenBank genome assembly.
ACUUGCAAAAAUGUUCUUAUUGCUCCUUCGCUGAAAGCCAAGCACUUUGGGGACUUUUUAAAACUGUCCAAAACCUUCUAAAAUGAUCGGGCAAUAAAAUGGACAGGUUCUAGGCAUUCUGACUCUUAAAUUUUUAAUUUAUAGUCCAAGCUAUUUGAUAUAUUGUACUGCAUUGUGAAUGAAAAGACCACAGCCACCCAAACUCUGACUCCACAAUGUUUCAUUUUAGAUCCAUCCCAUAAUUAUCUAGCAAUUGAAGCUUUUACAUUUACUAGUUUUGGUUGGC